RNAcentral lists this signal recognition particle RNA (299 nucleotides) under Cebus imitator (Panamanian white-faced capuchin). RNAcentral describes it as "Metazoan signal recognition particle RNA (ENSCCAG00000006415.1)". It matches the Rfam family "Metazoan signal recognition particle RNA". Rfam says of the family: The signal recognition particle (SRP) is a universally conserved ribonucleoprotein. It is involved in the co-translational targeting of proteins to membranes. The eukaryotic SRP consists of a 300-nucleotide 7S RNA and six proteins: SRPs 72, 68, 54, 19, 14, and 9. The record is from Rfam by way of RNAcentral. Lineage: Eukaryota; Metazoa; Chordata; Mammalia; Primates; Cebidae.
GCCCAGCGCAGUGGCCCGUGCCUGUAGUCCCAGCUACUCCAGAGGCUAAGGUGGGAGGGACACUUGAGCCCAGGAGUUCUGGGCUGUAGUGCGCUAUGCCCAUCGGGUGUCCGCACUAAGUUUGGCAUCAAUAUGGUGACCUCCUGGGAGUGGGGGACCACCAGGUUGCCUAAGGAGGGCUGAACCGGCCCAGGUCGGAAACACAGCAGGUCAAAACUCCCAUGAAGAUCAGUAGUGGGAUCUUGCCUGUGAAUAGCCACUGCACUCCAGCCUGGGCAACAUAGGGAGUCCCCAUCUCU